AGUAACUGCACAAGUGUUGAUAUCUGAGUUGCGUCAAAUGGUAUCAGUGUCAGGGGAACCAAUUCAGAGACUGGGAGCAUACAUCUUGGAAGGGCUUGUUGCAAGGUUGGGUGCAUCAGGAAGUUCCAUAUGCAAAUCCUUGAGAUGCAAAGAACCCGCAAGUUUUGAGCUGUUGUCUUAUAUGCACGUUCUUUACGAGAUUUGCCCUUACUUCAAAUUUGGAUACAUGUCAG
RNAcentral lists this unclassified non-coding RNA (233 nucleotides) under Hevea brasiliensis (rubber tree). Lineage: Eukaryota; Viridiplantae; Streptophyta; Magnoliopsida; Malpighiales; Euphorbiaceae. The record is from RNAcentral.